UGGGGAAUAUUGGACAAUGGGCGCAAGCCUGAUCCAGCCAUGCCGCGUGAGUGAAGAAGGCCUUCGGGUUGUAAAGCUCUUUUGUCCGGAAAGAAAUCCUGUCGGCUAAUACCCGGCGGGGAUGACGGUACCGGAAGAAUAAGCACCGGCUAACUUCGUGCCAGCAGCCGCGGUAAUACGAAGGGUGCAAGCGUUACUCGGAAUUACUGGGCGUAAAGCGUGCGUAGGUGGUUCGUUAAGUCUGAUGUGAAAGCCCUGGGCUCAACCUGGGAACUGCAUUGGAUACUGGCGAUCUGGAGUGCGGUAGAGGGUAGCGGAAUUCCCGGUGUAGCAGUGAAAUGCGUAGAUAUCGGGAGGAACAUCCGUGGCGAAGGCGGCUACCUGGACCAGCACUGACACUGAGGGCACGAAAAGCGUGGGGGAGCAAAACAGGAUUAGAUACCCUGGGUAGUCCACGCCCUAAACGAUGCGAACUGGAUGUUGGGUGCAACUUGGCACUCAGUAUCGAAGCUAACGCGUUAAGUUCGCCGCCUGGGAAGUACGGUCGCAAGACUGAAACUCAAAUGAAUUGACGGGGUCAUAGC
Molecule: ribosomal RNA, 584 nt
Filed under: uncultured bacterium
Lineage: Bacteria
Description: partial 16S ribosomal RNA
Rfam family: Bacterial small subunit ribosomal RNA
Source: RNAcentral